UCCCCGAUAGAAUCGGGGCUGUCCCCCGUGAGAAUAUAACACAGGGUAGGGGUUGCGCUCGUUUGCCGACUGAACGGAACACCUCACGGCACGAGCUGACGACGACCGUGCAUCACCUGUCAUCUGGCUCCCGAAGGCACCCCCGCAUUUCUGCAGGGUUCCAGAGAUGUCAAGACCGGGUAAGGUUCCUCGCUUAGCUUCGAAUUAAACCACAUGCUCCACCACUUGUGCGAGCCCCCGUCAAUUCCUUUGAGUUUUAGCCUUGCGGCCGUACUUCCCAGGCGGUUCACUUACCGCGUUAGCUGCGCUACAGAGAGGGUCGAUACUCCCCAUAGCUAGUGAACAUCGUUUACAGCGUGGACUAC
This 365-nucleotide unclassified non-coding RNA is filed under the name uncultured bacterium. Its description in RNAcentral is "contains 16S-23S intergenic spacer region". The record is from RNAcentral.